UUACCUAAUUUACACAAAAUGAAUCAAGACUAAUAUAUAAGAUAUAUACACUAACAAUGAUCAUGGCACUUCCUUUCUAUUUAUUUUUAUGAUUCCUUUUAUAUUUUAUAUUUUGAUGUAAGUUUUUAUAUUUCGAUUUGGAAUCAAGAAAUUAUUCGUGAAGAGAGAGAUAUGCCGUAGCAUCUCAUUUCUAUUAUCUUGGCUCCCCAACC
RNAcentral lists this long non-coding RNA (212 nucleotides) under Elaeis guineensis (African oil palm). RNAcentral's name for it is "long non-coding RNA (EGUI_LNC031046)". The record is from RNAcentral. Lineage: Eukaryota; Viridiplantae; Streptophyta; Magnoliopsida; Arecales; Arecaceae.